GGGUCUUGGGAUAUUUGGGGUUAAGCGUCUUUGGGUUUGAAUAGUACUGGGUUGGGUGACCCCCCGGGAAGUCCAAACUCAAGAUCUU
Non-coding RNA from Selaginella moellendorffii, 88 nucleotides. The record is from Rfam. NCBI's taxonomy places the organism in Eukaryota, Viridiplantae, Streptophyta, Lycopodiopsida, Selaginellales, Selaginellaceae.